AGUGGCGGACGGGUGAGUAACGCGUGAGAAUCUGCCUUGGGGUCGGGGACAACCACUGGAAACGGUGGCUAAUACCGGAUACGCCUUCGGGUAAAAGAUUUAUUGCCCUAAGAGGAGCUCGCGUCUGAUUAGCUAGUUGGUGAGGUAAGAGCUCACCAAGGCAGCGAUCAGUAGCUGGUCUGAGAGGACGAUCAGCCACACUGGGACUGAGACACGGCCCAGACUCCUACGGGAGGCAGCAGUGGGGAAUUUUCCGCAAUGGGCGAAAGCCUGACGGAGCAAGACCGCGUGAGGGAGGAAGGCUCUUGGGUUGUAAACCUCUUUUCUCAGGGAAGAAGAUCUGACGGUACCUGAGGAAUCAGCCUCGGCUAACUCCGUGCCAGCAGCCGCGGUAAUACGGAGGAGGCAAGCGUUAUCCGGAAUUAUUGGGCGUAAAGCGUCCGCAGGUGGCGAUUCAAGUCUGCUGUCAAAUCACGGGGCUUAACUCCGUAAAGGCAGUGGAAACUGAAUAGCUAGAGUGCCGUAGGGGUAGAGGGAAUUCCCGGUGUAGCGGUGAAAUGCGUAGAGAUCGGGAAGAACAUCGGUGGCGAAAGCGCUCUACUGGACGGCAACUGACACUCAGGGACGAAAGCUAGGGGAGCGAAUGGGAUUAGAUACCCC
Molecule: ribosomal RNA, 660 nt
Filed under: uncultured bacterium
Lineage: Bacteria
Description: bacterial SSU rRNA
Rfam family: Bacterial small subunit ribosomal RNA
Source: RNAcentral